This 717-nucleotide ribosomal RNA is filed under the name Triticum aestivum (bread wheat). Its description in RNAcentral is "partial small subunit ribosomal RNA". The record is from RNAcentral. Lineage: Eukaryota; Viridiplantae; Streptophyta; Magnoliopsida; Poales; Poaceae.
AUGCCAAAAGCGAUCAAGGAUAGACGAUGCGAUGCACCACCAUUUGAUCUCGACAUAGACGGCGACAGUGAAGCCAGCACGCCCAUCAAGAAAGAUGGAAAUGGCAGCCCGCUUUCACCUACAGCGGCAACUAAGGCAUACUGUGACAACCUCGUUGGACAACUAAUGAUGCUCAAUGAUGAGAUCGGGGACACCGAGGGGCACACUGUGUUUGGACAAGUGAAUGGUAUGCCUAUUAUCAAAACCAAGGUUGCUCACACCAAGUUCACAGAAGACCCAUGGUCCAGUAACCGUACAAUGUGCACACAUGGUGAAGUUGUCCGGAAAGCCAUCAGGGACUGGAUGCGAUCAAGAACACAAUUCCACCUAUCAAGGGAUUGGGUAUCGCACCCUGCCCCGCGGUUUAUUGCUGUAAGUGGCAACGCCAUCAAGUCUCAAAUAUGCGACGGUGCUGAAAUCGACCACGAGCUCGGGUCCUUGAUCAUACGUCGGAUGGCACAGAUGGAGUCACAUGCUCACCGCGCCACCCCUGACGAACAAUACCGCUUGAUCCUCGAGCCCGACUUCUCGUCCCAUGCCAUUGCAGGAGAAAACACCACCAGAAUCAUGUCAAUACAAAGACAAUCCACUCGAGUAGAUGUCAAAUGCAAUAUUUCAAACUGCCGGAUGGUUACCAUCCCUGCAGUCAUGCAACAUGGGUGGUCUAGCUUCAAUUGA